Molecule: long non-coding RNA, 721 nt
Filed under: Marmota monax (woodchuck)
Lineage: Eukaryota; Metazoa; Chordata; Mammalia; Rodentia; Sciuridae
Source: RNAcentral
UUCCUUCCUUCUCUUCCCUCAAACACACACCACAUACACACACACGCACGCGCACACACACACACCAGGCACACAUAUAACAACAGGCACACACUUUGAGAAUCAAGAAGAGCAAAUAAAUUCAGCCUGAAUUGAGUUUGUUAGGGUCUACCUAGUUUGGUAUGUGGGAUAAAAAUAUUGCCUCCCUAACGCAUUUAAAUUGAAUCUAUGUAAAAAUAAGGUUGCUUGAAAAAAUUUGAGGAUUCAAACAGAAAUACACUCUUACCACAUAUGACUAACAUUUUCUGGGUGUUUGACUUACCCAUGCAUUCCUAAUAACAAACUUCUUACUCAUUUUAACAAUAAAUGCACUCUCUAUCAAGGGGAAAGUUGUGUGGUUACUAAUCUCACUUUAGCUGUAGCUGGCAGCUAGAUUGGUGAAGUCCUCCUGUCCUGCCAAGCUAAUCCUCUUCUGGAUGUCCAGGGUGAUCUCUGAUGAAAUCUUUAUGUAUUCUCUCUGACAGCCUUUGUUAUCUGUGCAUUUAUGACUUACCCUUUUUUUUAAAUAUCACCUUCUCUUUCCUCUGUUUAUUCCUUUCCUCCUAUUUUUUAGUCCUCUAUUCCUACUCUGUGUGUUCUUAUUUAUAUUUUUAUGCUUAAGAAAUAUUUCUUUCAAAGAAGUUGAAAAACUUUAAAACUAUGUAUAUAAGGGUAUAUAUAAUGUGUAUAUAUACAGUUUAAG